RNA transcript from Pristis pectinata (smalltooth sawfish), 10128 nucleotides. RefSeq lists it as uncharacterized. The transcript has 20 exons. The record is from RefSeq and is a predicted model, not a curated record. NCBI's taxonomy places the organism in Eukaryota, Metazoa, Chordata, Chondrichthyes, Rhinopristiformes, Pristidae.
CCCUCCCUUACCACACACAUUAUAAAAGCUCACCCUACUCCAUGCUGCAAGGCAGCUGUGCUGAGAGGGGAUCUGAAAAAUGAAAUCUAUUCUUACUGGAAAGUUGUGUUUGACCUCCCUCAAACCUUGUGAUCUUGCCAGUUGCACAAAGAAGGACAUUUUGGACUACUUUGAGAAUACCUAUGAUUUGGAUGAAACAUUGUUUAGUGCCCUCAAAGAUGAGUCCACCUUCUACCUGUCCCCAGACCGACUCCGGCUGCCUCUGAUCUUCUACUUCUGCCAUCCUUCAGUGUUCUACAUCAAUAAACUGCUGCUCGCUGGCCUCAUAAAGGAUCAAGUGAAACCCAGUUUUGAAGCUCUCUUUGAGGCAGGAGUGGAUGAGAUGUCCUGGGAUGACACGGAGAACUAUCGACUGGGGGGAAGCUUUAACUGGCCUACGUUAUGGGAAUGCGUUGAGUACCGGAGGAAGGUACGGGACAUAGUUCACAAAGUCAUCCAGGAGACUCCAUUAGAGCUUCCAGUAACAAUGGACAGUCCUUGGUGGGCAAUUUUUAUGGGAUUUGAGCACGAGCGAAUCCAUAUAGAAACUUCAUCCGUGCUAAUUCGUCAGCUGCCAACUCACUUGGUUCAAAGGCCUCAAUAUUGGAAAUAUGCCUCCUCAAAGAGUGAUUUACAGUCAUUUGCCAACCCCCUAAUCAAAGUCUCAGCUUCCAGAGUUACUUUUGGAAAACCGAGGAAUUUCCCAUCUUAUGGCUGGGACAAUGAGUAUGGACAAAUGAUAACAGAUGUGCCAGAGUUUGAAGCCAGCAAGUACCUAACAACAAAUGGAGAAUAUUUGAAGUUUGUGCAAGAUGGAGGAUAUGAAAAGAAAAAUUACUGGACCAAGGAAGGCUGGGAAUGGAGGAAGUUCUAUCAAGCUCAGCAUCCCACGUUCUGGGUCUGUACUAAAGGGUGCAAGUCUGGGUGUGGAGCUAGCCUUGCGAGUUACUCUCAUUGUCAACCAGAUAAAGCCAACAUUAAAGCAGGUUGCACAAAUGAACCUUUCAGCAGCAGUCCGAAUGGGCACUGGAAUGGCGUCGAAAAGAUUAUUGAGGGAGAAUUACCAGAAUACAGAUACAGAGCUAUGUUUGAUAUCCUCCUGAUGCCCUGGGAUUGGCCAGUGGAAGUCAACUAUCACGAAGCGAAGGCCUUUUGUAUGUGGAAAGGCAAUGGAUAUCGGUUCCUAACUGAAGCCGAACAUCAUCGGAUUCGAUCUGGCAGUCAGAAGCCUUUGGGAGGUGAUGUUACUUCUGAUCCAAUAUUUUGUGAUGAUAUAAAGGAGAAACACAACAUCAACCUGGCUUUUGGAUCACCAACGCCUGUGACUAUGUAUCCACCCAACGAGGCAGGCUUUCAUGAUGUGUUUGGCAAUGUCUGGGAAUGGACAGAAGAUCAUUUUAAUGGGCUUCCAGGCUUUGACACCACAUACCUGUACGAUGACUUCUCCAGCCCCUGUUUUGAUGGCAAGCAUACAAUAAUUCUGGGUGGCUCUUGGAUUUCAACAGGCGAUGAGGCUUCAAGAUUCGCAAGAUUUGCUUUUAGGAGGCAUUUUUUUCAGCAUUUGGGCUUCCGCUUGACCAGAACCUGCAACAGAUUACAGACUCCAGCCAUAAUGGUGAAUGUUGAAGGAUUUGCUCCAGGGGUGGCAGAUAGAGCAGAUAACCCAAUCGCUGUCCCCAAGGAGACUGUGCUAGUGAUACCAGUUUCCAGCACUAACACUCAACUGCACUAUGAGUCAGAUGUUGCUGUGCAGGAGCAGCUGGAGUUGGAGUACGGAGACCUGAGUGAAAGUGGUUACUGCAGCCAGGUGUUUGGAGUGUGCAAGCAGGUGAUCAAGGAACAGCAGCCAUCUGGGACAACAGUUCUUGUCCUAGGCAGUGGAACUGGGCUCUUGUCAUUCAUGUUGACCCAGCUGUUUCACAAGGUCAUUGGAAUAGACUACAGUGGAAGGUUCAUUGACAUUGCGCAGCAGCUAAAAUGUACAGGACAUCAGAGUACUGAGGUCAAAGUUCCAGAGUAUUUGGACAGAGACAGGGUGGUGUUCAAACAGCUUACAUGGAUUCCUAAUGAAGUUGGACGUCAUAGUUUUAUACUUCUUGAUUUCCUUGAUCGCACCCUGAAUCCCUCAGCAAUCCCCCUCAACUCUCCCAUAAAAUAGUAAAGCCAUUUUGAGUUAGGCCUAUCUUCCCCGCAAGUCCCAGCAGAGAUUUAUCUUCCCCGCAAGUCCCGGCGGAGAUUUAUCUUCCCCGCAAGUCCCGGCAGAGAUUUAUCUUCCCCGCAAGUCCCGGCAGAGAUUUAUCUUCCCCGCAAGUCCCGGCAGAGAUUUAUCUUCCCCGCAAGUCCCGGCAGAGAUUUAUCUUCCCCGCAAGUCCCGGCAGAGAUUUAUCUUCCCCGCAAGUCCCGGCAGAGAUUUAUCUUCUCCAUGUGUCAGUACUAUUUAGAGAUUUGCUGUACUAUUUGAAUAAGUCUUCACAAAGUAAACAAAAAUGUUAUAAACUGAAAAUGCUGGAAAUCUGAAAUAAAAACUAACAAUUCAGAUCAGGCAGCUGUGGAGAAAGAAACAGAAUUAGCAUUUCUGUUUGAUGACGUCAUCAGCUCCAAGAAGAGCUGGAAAUCAACAGGUUUAAAAUUGCAGGGAAGGGAGAGAGCAAGGGAAACGUCUGCAAUAAGGUGGAGAUCAAGAGAAACCAAUGAUAAAAAUGGUGUCGGUGCUGGCUGAGAGAGGUUGGUGAAAGCUUGGUAAUCACAGCUGAUCUGUCUGGUGGAAAUGUAAAUAGAGGGAGAUAAAUGAGAAAAACGAAAGAGAAAAAGCAAUGCUGGAACUGUGGGAUACAAAACAUGAUUAACGUGAGAUAAAAGAGAACCCUGGAACUACUCGGAAGGGCAGGCAGCAUCUGCGGGGAGAGAAAAACUAAUUUAAUAUUACACGGUGACCUUUCAUUAGAACCAGUAAAUUGUGACACAAACUGAGAAAUCUGGUUAUCUGAAGUUGUUGAAUUCAGUCUUGGAUCCUGAGUGCUGUUUUGUGCCUUGUCAGAAGAUGAGAUGCUAUUCCUGGAGCUCAUGUUGGGCUUUGUUGAGAUUAAUAGGCCAAUGACAGAGAACUCAGAGUGGGAACGUGAUGGAGAAUGAAACUGACAGGCAACUGGAAUCUCAAGGUUGCCCUUGCAAACUGAACGAGGGUGUUCUGCAAAGGUCACCCAAUCUGUGAUUGGUUUCUCCUUCAUAUCGAAAAGACAGGUAAGUAAGCAGAGGGGGUGGGGUGGCUCUGUUGGUUUAAAAAAAACAAAAUCAGAUCCUUAGCAAGAAGUGACAUAGGAUCAGAAGGUGUAGAAUCCUUGUGGGUAGAGUUAAGAAAGUGCAAGCGUAAAAAGACCCUGAUGGGGAUUUUAUACAGGCCUCCGAAUGGUAGCCAGAAUGUGGGGUAAAAAUUACAACAGGAAAUAGAAAGGGCAUGUAAAAAGGGCAAUGUUACGGUAUCAUGAGUGAUUUCAAUAUGUAGGUAGAUUUGGAAAAUCACGUUGGUACUGAAUGUCAAGAGUAGGAAGUUGUAGAAUGCCUAUGAGAUGGAUUCUUAGAGUAGCGUGUGGUCGAGCCCACUAGGGAAAAGGCAAUUCUGGAUUUGGUGCUGUGCAAUGAACCAGAUUUGAUUAGGGAACUUAAGGUAAAGGAACCCUUAGGAGGCAGUGAUCAUAAUAUGAUAGAAUUCACCCUGCAGUUUGAGGGAGAAGCUAAAAUCGGAUGUAUCAGUGUUACAGUUGAGUAAAGGUAACUACAGAGGCAUGAGAGAGAGGAGCUGGCCAAAGUUGAUUGGAAGGGGACCCUAGCAGGGGUGAUGGUAGAGCAGCAAUGGCAGGAGUUUCUGAGAGUAAUUCAGAAAACACAGGAUUAGUUCAUCCCAAAGAAGCAGCAGCAUUCUAAAGGGAUGAUGAGGCAACUGUAGCUGACAAGAGAAGUCAAAAAUAGCAUAAAAGUAAAAGAGAAGGCAUACAAUAUUGCAACAAUUAGUGGGAAGCCAGAGGAUUGGAAAGCUUUUAAAGACUAACAGAAGGCAACUAAAAAAGCAAUAAGGGGAGAAAAAAUGAAAUAUGAAGGUAAACAGGCCAAUAAUAUAGAAGAGAAUACCAGAAGUUUUUUCAGAUAUAUAAAGAGUAAAAGAGAGGCAAGAAUGGACAUCAGACUGCUGGAAAAUGAUGCUGAAGAGGCAGUAAUGGGGAACAACGAAAUGACAGAUGAAAUGAAUAAGUAUUUUGCAUCAGUCUUCACUGUGGAAAACACCAGCAAUGUGCCAAAAAUCCAAGAGAGUCGGUGGCAGGAGUGUAGUCGCUAUUGCUGAGGAGAAUGUACUUGGGAAAGUGAAAGGUCUGAAGGCGGAUAAGUCACCUGGACCGGAUGGACUACACCCCAGGGUUCUGAAAGAGGUAGCUGAAGAGAUUGUGGAGGCAUUAGUAGUGAUCUUUCAAGAAUUACUAGAGUUAGAAAUGGCUCCAGAGGACUGGAAAAUCACAAAUGUCACUCCACUCUUUAAGAAGCAAGGGAGGCAACAGACAGGAAAUUCUAGGCCAGUUAGCCUGACUUCAGUGGUUGGUAAGAUACUAGAGUCCAUUACUAAGCAUGAUGCUUCAGGGUACUUGGAAGCACAUGAUAAAAUAGACCAAAGUCAGCAUGGUUUCCUUAAGGGGAAAUCUUGCCUGACAAAUCUGGUUGGAAUUCUUUAAGGAAGUAACAGAAAGAAUAAACAAAGGAGAGUCGGUGGACGUCGUUUUUCACUUGGAUUUUCAGAAGGCCUUUAGCAAGGUGCUGCACAUGAGGCUGCAAAACAAGAUAGGAGCCCAUGGUAUUACGGGAAAGGUACUAGCAUGGAUAGAGAAUUGGCUGACUGGCAGAAGGCAGAGAGUGGGAAUAAAGGGGGCCUUUUCUGGUUGGCUGCCGGUGACUAAUGGUGUCCCGCAGGGGUCGGUGUUGGGUCCACUACUUUUCACAUUAUAUGUUAAUGAUCUGGGUGACGGAAUUGAUGGCUUUGUGGCCAAGUUUGCAGAUGAUACAAAAGUAGGUGGAGGGGCAGGUAGUGUUGAGGAAGCAGGGAGUCUGCAGAAAGACUUGGAAAGGUUGGGAGAAUGGGCAAAGAAGUGGCAGAUGGAAUACAGUGUAGGGAAGUGUACGAUCGUGUACUUUGGUAGAAGGAAUAAAGGCAUAGACUAUUUUCUAAACAGGGAGAGAGUUCAGAAAUCAGAGGUACAAAAGAGACUUGGGAGUCCUAGUGCAGGAUUCCCCAAAGGUUAACUUGCAGGUUGAGUUGGUAGUAAGGAAGGCAAAUGCAAUGUUAGCAUUUAUUUCUAGAGGACUAGAAUAUAAAAGCAAGCGUGUAAUGUUGAGGCUUUAUAAGGCAUUGGUCAGACCACAUUUGGAGUAUUGUGAGUAGUUUUGGGCCCCAUAUUUAGGGAAGGAUGUGCUGGCAUUGGAGAGGGGCCAGAGGAGAUUUACGAGAAUGAUCCUGGGAAUGAAAGGGUUAAUGUGAGGAGCAUUUGAUGGCUCUGAGCCUGUAUUCACUGGAGUUUAGAAGAAUGAGUGGGGAUCUCAUUGAAACCUACCAAAUAUUGAAAGGCUUGGAUAGACGUGGAAAGGAUGUUUCCAGUAGUGGGAGAGUCUAGGACCAGAAGACACAGCCUUAGAAUAGAAGUGUGUCCCUUUAUUCUAAUAGAGGAAGAAUUUCUUUAGCCAGACGGUGGUGAAUCUGUGGAAUUCAUUGCCACAGAUGGCUGUGGAGGCCAAGUCAUUGGGUCUAUUUAAAGCGGAGGUUGAUAGUUUCUUAAGUAGAAAGGGCGCCAAAGAUUAUGGGGAGAAGGCAGGAGAAUGGUGUUGAGAGGGAAAAAUAAAUCAGCCGUGAUGAGCAGACUCGAUGGGUCAAAUGGCCUAAUUCUGCUCCUAGGUCUUAUGGUCAUAAGGGGGGAACGACAUUGUGAGCAGUGAAUGCAGUGCAUCAAAUUGGCAGUAAUACAAGUGAAUCACUUCUUCACCUGGAAGGAGUGCUUGUGUUCCUGAAUUGUGCAAAAGGAAAAGGUAAAAGGGCAGUAUUGGAUCUUGUGAGGUUGCACAGGAAAGGUGCUCUGGGGAGUGGGUUCAGCUGGAGACAGAAGAGUGAAUCAGAGCAUCACAGUGAAUGAACCUUUAGGAAUGCUGAUAGGGGACAGGAGAGGAAGAUUUGUCUGGGGAGGCAACAUAUAAGAGUAAUGGAAAUUGCAAAGGAUCUAUUGAAUUUGGGGUUAGUGGGGUGGAAGGUGAGGGAUAAGGAGAACCUUUUCGAUAUUCACGUGGGAGAAGAGGGGUGAGAGUAGAAGUGCAGGUAAUUGAAUGGAGAGGCCUGACAUGUUUAAGGAAGCAUUGGUGUAUUAGAUGUGGCCAUCAGAACAGAUGCAACACAGCCGGAGAAGCUAGAGAAAUGGAAUGAGGUUCUUACUGGAAGUGUCUUUGCAGGAGGUGCAAACAAGGUAGCUGUGGGAGUCUGUGUGAUUGAUGGAGAUUCCAGUUGCCUGAAAUUUUCCAUUCUACUCCAAAUCUGAGCCAUCUGUUCAGUCACUUGCACUUUCCCAAUGAAGCCCAUCUUAAGCUCCAGGAAAAGCAUCCCAUCUUCUGACUAGUCAUGUUACAACUCUGAGAAUCUGAGAUCGAAUUCAACAAUCAGCCUUUGUCAUUUGUAUCACAACUGGUCAGUUCUGAUGAAAGGUCAUCAACCUGUAACGAUACAUCUGUUUUUGUCUCUCCGCAGACACUGCUUGCCCUGCUGAAUAGUUCCUCCAUUCUCCUUUAGUUCAGAAUUUAGGCAGCUGCAGUCUUCUGUACUUCAGAAUUCCAGCAUUGUAUUUUCUCUUCUGUUCAGUUUUCAUUCUUCUCCCUUUUAGUUACACCUUCUUCAGAAAGAUCAGCUGCAACUAACAUGUCUUCCCCACCCUCUCUCAGCUGCCAUCACCACCAUGCGUGUCAUUCAGUCUUUCCUGGUUUCCGCCCAAUUGCAGGCAUUCCCCUAGGUUCCUCACCCAUUCUCCUAUGCAAUUUAAAACUUGCCUGAUUUCCAAUUUCAUUGAGUUGCAAUGAAAGGUUCUUGACUGGAAACAUUAAUCCUGUUUCUCUCUCCAUGGUUGCUGCCUGACCUGCUGAUUACCUCCAGCAUUUCCUGUUUUUAUUUUCCACAGUGACCUACUUUUCUGGGAAAAUUGUCCUUUUAAGCAAUACUUUAUUAUUUAUCUGUAUGGUUAUCUAUUUAUUUAUUAACUAAUUUAUUCAUUGAUUCACUUAUUUAUUUAAAGAGACUGCAAAGUAAAGAAAUUAAGAACAUAUCAUUUCAAUGUUUCAUUGCUUUACUUCUGCUGCCUAAAUAUUUAGUCAUACGGUUCAUUAUUUUGGGAUUCGUGCUGCUGCAAAUCUAAUGUGGAGGUAAGAUGGUAUUUGCAGGGUAAACAAAAUCUGUACAUUUCUGCCGAAAGCAAUGAGAUUGUUCACAGUCAACUAUGAAAAGCCUAAUCAAAAAACUACUACGAUUGGCUGCUGUGCUAUUUCGACCAGCACUUCCUAUUCCACUGGGGUAGUCUAUGAUCCAAUGGCAUGAACAGUGAAUUCUCCAAUCUUAGGUAACCUGCACCCCAUCUUUUCCUUUCUCUAUUCUGAUUGAUCCAGGUCCUCUUACACACACCAUUCAUUCCAGCCCUGUUAACCAGUUUUGUCCCCUCUCCCACCUGGUUACAUUUGCCUGUCGCCUACAUAUUCAACCCAAAUGAUCCCCUAUUCCCUCCCUCACUGUUUGUUCUCUUAUGCCUACCAUCCCUUAUCUGGUUUCACUCAUCACCUUCCUUUCUUAUCAGAUUCCAUAAUCUACAGUCCAUUGCUGCCUCCACCUAUCACCUCCCAGCCUCUGUCGCUAUCUCCAUCCAUCCCUCCCUAUCUGGCUCCAACUGCCCAUCAACCCAUCCUCACCAAGAUCCACCUAUUGCUUGUCAACUCCUGCCUCACCUCUCUCCUUUACAUUCUCAGUCCUGAUGCAGGGUCUUGACCAAAAACAUCAACUGUCCUUUGCCUCCACAGAUGCUGAGUUUCUCCAGCAGUUUGGUUUUUUUUGCUCCAAAUUCCUGCCUCUGCAGUCUCUUGUGUCUUCAAAGAUGAAAAGGGAUACACAUUUAUCACUGUUAUAUCAUGAAUUUCGCAACAACUUGGAAUUCAAUCAUGGCAUAUCAAAUCAUGGAUAGCCAUAAGCAUAAUUUGCUUUAGAAAGUGGUAAUCCUCUGCACUUCCUUCCCCUUUAAAUGAAUAUAGUCUGAUUUAUUUGUUCUGUAUUGUGGUGUAUGUGUGUAAGAUGUCUUCACAAUGGUUGCCCAAGUUAUCACUCCCUACAGUUCUGGAAAUUAACAUGCCAUUUCCUUCCCAAUGAGGUUUUCCUGAGAUGGGAAAGUAAGGAGAAAAAAUCAAUAAACGAGGCAUCAUUUUGAAGAGUCAUCCUUGGAUAACACGAUCUGCAUUUUACUGCAGUUUAUGUCACCACCUUAUGAUUUAAAGAUGAUGAGAAUACAUUUGCCAUCUGUUCAUGAAGGUGGUGUCCCUUUAAUUAGUAAAAGACAACUGCUUAAUAUUUUAUGGUAAAACAUCAAAAGUAAUAAUGUGAAUCAAAAGAUUUAGUCGUGGGUGUAAUUCCAAUGAAUUGUUCAUUAGUUUUUAAAUAUUAUAAAUGGAGAUAGUUGUAGAAUUAACAAUAAAAUAGGCACAUUCUGUUGAACAUCUCUAUCUGUGGAUCAUACAUGGGAAACUGUAUUCACAGUGCAAUUAUUCCAACCUGAUGUGAAGGGGGAUCUGAGGGAUGAUAGAAGAGAACUCUCUUAUGUGAUGGGAGAACCCCAUCAUGUCACAGGAGAACCAAUUUCCUAUACUGUGUCUACUUUCAGCCGAUGCGUUAACAUUUAAGCAGUGCAGCAGCAAGGGACUACUAAAGACAAUGAUUGUGCCGUCAUCUCCCUCCAUUGCAAUAGAUCCUUAUAAGAACAUUUAACAGAUUAUUUCCCCUUUUAUUUUUGCAUUGAUUUCCUAUGAGCUAAUUCUGGUUGGAUUUUCACUUAUUUAUUGAGAUUCCAUGUUUUAUAAGUUUCUUAUUGAAGCCUUGCUGAUGAGCUUCUUAAAUGUUAUGUAAUUACCCGAAUAUUUGAUUGACUCCAUCUCUGUUUUAUUUUCUAGGCUCUUCUAGAAUGAACCAAAAAAAAAUCAAAUAACUCAAUUUUUCAUUAGCAAAGAGAAGGCUGGGAUGACUUUUUAGAGGUGUUUAAAAUGUGAAAAUAAGAUGACAUUGUGAGAUUAGAACCUGUUAGGAAAUCCUUCACAGAUGGUCACUAAUAAGAGAGGAGCAGGAAUGUGGUUCUUGCUACCAUAUGGAAUAAUUGAGAUAAACUUAAGGGGGAAUCUUGAUAAAUAGGAGGAACAGAAGGACUUUAUCUGUAUGUUAUCUUUUAGAAGGUUACGAUAAGCAGGUUAGUGAAGGAUGGAGGCAGUCUCAUAAGGGGCCUCAGCACCAGCCUGGACCAGUUUGGCAGCAUGAUCUAUUUCUGUGAUGAAAAUUCCAAGUAAUUCCCAGUGAAAGCCAAAGACAUAAUUCAUGGUUUAUCCUAUUUCAUGAAAAAGUGAUUGAAAAACUCUUUGUUUGAGGAGGAUCAGAGUGGCAGGGGGUUACCUUUUUGUGCUUUAUUGGUCCAUUCAGGGAUGACAUGUCAUUCCAUCAAAGGCAAAUGAAGGAAUGUUUAUCAAAUACUUUUUCACAAAAGUAAUCACCUUUAAAUCUUUGAAGGCACUGCUGAAGUUCUCUCUGUUUCAAAUUUUGAUUUUGACAAGUCUAGUUGGAGACCUAAGGACAUCAUUAAGGACGAAAAGGGCAGUGGAGAAAAAGAAAUAUAUCAACUGACAGCCAAAUACUUGGCUAGCACGUUUGUCUGGUGUCGUGCAAUCAAAAGGUUUGGUUGUCAUCAUCUCAGAAAAGUGGAAAAGGAACAAUUUAUAUCAAAGAUUUCAAGAACUCAGAAAACAGUGGUUCUUUAUGGAACAAAGGGAAAUCGAAAGCAG